CCGGGUGUGGGAGGGGGGUGGGGGGUGGGGGUGGGGGGUAUCGGGGAAACUGGGGAAGAUGGGAGAGCUGGAGGAGAGUCGUGGGGUCCGAGGAGCACCUCGGCAUCUGGAGUCUGGCAGGAAUGUUGAAGGACUGAGGGGCUAGCUCAGGCAGAGCAAAGGCAUCGCAAAGGCUGGAAAACAUCGGAGUGAAGCUGAAGGGCCUGAGCUAGGGUUGGAGAGGAAUGGGGAGCCAGACAUUCAUCCCGGUUACUUUUGGUUACAGGACGUGGCGGCUGGUCGGAUAAAGGGGAGCUGCUGGGAAGGGUUCGACCCCAGACCUGGGCAGUGAAGGUAUAGCUGGCAGCAGUGGGCAGGUGAGGACCGCCGUCUGCUGGGCAGGUGAGUCUCCUUCUUCUCUCUUGGCCUCGCUCCACUGACCUUCUAAACGAAGGUUUAGAGAGGGGGCCUGGUGAGAAGAAGCGGCUGGCCUCGCAGCAGAAUGGCACAUAGAAAGGCAGGAUAGUUAGCAAAGGAGACAUCGUCUCGGGGGGAGCCGAGACAGAAGGAGGCUGGGGGACCAUUGGCGACCCCAGGUGGAAAGAGCUCUUAGAGAGAAGAAAGAAGAGGUGCAGGGUUGCCAGUAAAGACUGAGGCCGCUGCCUCCAGGGAGGUGAUAGGAGUCCUUGGAGACAGUGGCAGAGACCAUGGGAUCCAGCAAGAACAGAAGCAUUCUAGGCUGGGGUCAAACAGGGCAAGAUGGGGUCACAAGACACAGAUGGGUCCCCAGCCGCCACAACAUCCCACCCACCGUAAUUCACUUAGAAGAAGGUUCAAGAGUGGCUCUGGCAAAGUCCCAAGUUUGCCAGAGCCUCAAUAACUGGAGAAUGGAAAAGAAGGGCAGUGCAGGGUGUCACCAGAAGGGGAGUGGGGGCUGCAGGUAUCGGACUCCAGAGGGAUUUUACAGCAAGGAGGCUGCAGUGGGUCCAGCCUGCAGACACACCAUUCCCAUGAGGCACUGCGGCCCAGGGACUGGUGCGGAAAGGGCCCACAGUGGACUUGGUACACUGUAUGCCCUAACCGCUCAGUCCCUGGGUCUGGCAUGACAGACAGAACAUUUCCAGGGGAGUCAAGGGCACAGGAUGAAGCCAGACGAGGCGAGGCAGGCGGGGCAGAAUGAAUGAGUUUCUAGGGAGGGAGGUUGGGUGCAGGUAGAGCGAGUAGCUGGGGUGGUGAGCCAGGGAGGCACUGGCCUCCAGAGUCCGUGGCCAAGGAGGGCCUUGCGGGCGGCGACGGAGCAGUGAUCGGUGUCUCGAAGAGCUCGGACUGGAGACUAGGCCAGGUCUCCAGCAGAGGUGGAUGUGCCUGCCAGUCACUGAAGGCGAGGAUGACAGAUGGUGUCAACAUUUUGAAAGAGCAGACUCAUAGCACCCACCCACCCCUGAGAAUCCAUCUUCAUGGCCAACUCUGCCUGACCCGGGAGACCACCACCCACAUCAUCCUGGAGCCAAGCCUCUACCCCGGGAUGACUUCAUCAUCUCCCUCCUGUCUUUUUCUUCUUCCUCCUUUCCUGUAAUUCUGUUUCUUUCCUUUUGUUCCUUCCUUGCUUGAGAGACUCAAAGCACCCGUGACUCUGUUUCCCCAUUUACCCCCUUUUGAAUUUGCACUAAGUCGAUUGCACUGGUUUGGAGUCCCGGAGAUAGCUUUGAGUCUCUCCGUAUGAAUGUAUACAGCGAGUGUGUAAACCUCUUUGGCAAUGCUGCCCCAGUACCCACCUGUCGUCCAUCUCCGUCUGAGGGCAACUGGGUGUGGCCGUGUGCUUGAGGCCUCGCCUUCCCCUCGCCUAGUCUGGAAGCAGUUCCAUCAUAAAGUGUUCAACAUGCCCUACUUCAUCCUUUGCCCCUCCUCACCAGGGCCUCACCAGAGGUCCUGGGUCCAUCAAUAAAUACAGUUACAGUCA
RNAcentral lists this long non-coding RNA (1939 nucleotides) under Mus musculus (house mouse). RNAcentral's name for it is "H19, imprinted maternally expressed transcript". The stretch from base 1004 to 1075 matches the Rfam family "mir-675 microRNA precursor family". The record is from RNAcentral. Lineage: Eukaryota; Metazoa; Chordata; Mammalia; Rodentia; Muridae.